This is a non-coding RNA of Drosophila melanogaster (fruit fly), 2301 nucleotides long. NCBI's taxonomy places the organism in Eukaryota, Metazoa, Arthropoda, Insecta, Diptera, Drosophilidae. The record is from Ensembl.
AAAUCACUCACCUGAAGAUCCGUGCUCAGCUCGAUCACGCUGUAGAGGAAGGGCUUCAUGGGCUCUGGGACAUCCCGUAUCGUUCGAACCAGCUGCUCUAGGGUGCCAAUGAUGGCGCAGCGCAGAAGGUCGUGUUCCUCGCUCUCGCGCCACAGGAGGGCGUCAUCGUGCCCAGCACCACGAUCUUGGUGUCGCACUCGCCGGCCUCAUGGAGCAGCAAAAAGAGGGCCUCGAAGAGGGAUGGAAAAUACGGGUGGAACGCUUCCGGCAUAAACUCAAAAUCGUCGAUCAACAGAUUCAACGUCCUGGCAGCGGCCAACCUGGUGGGCAUGUCCUCCUGCGGCCGGAGAAGAUGCAGGCAUGCUUCGUAAGCCAGCGGUCUCAGUUCUCUGGGCAACUGGACGCCAACCCAAUGGCCUACCAGCCAGAUGAUGCGACGCCGUAGGAUCCGAAAGUUCAGAGCUUCCACGCGCAGCUCCGCAAGCAAUUGGGAUGUCAGCCAUGCGCCAAAGUCCAGCUUGUUAAAGAAAUGAAAGGCUGCCUGGCCUACGGCAUUGUAGAUAGCGUCUUUCAGUAGAAUGGCCUUCAGGUCAGAUUCCGGGGUCAGCUGCAAUUGCUGGGCACGCCUUACGAAACGGAGCACCUCCGGAAUCAUCACUUGCGAAUGCUGAGUAAAACAUGUGAAAUAAAGGGUCUCCACGCUUGGCCUUAAGGCGUACUUCCAAGCAUCACCACCGCCGUCGUCCUGGUCAUAGCCCUCUGGAUCCUGCUGCCACUCCUCCAGCUCCUGUUGAGUGAGCAGAAAAUAGUGCGUCACGAUCUUCUCACAGAUGUAGGUCACUCGCUCCGCUGUGAAGAACUUGGCUUGGCUUUGAGCAGCGCUGGCUAACAGCUCAUCCUCUAUGUGAGCACCACCUUCGGGCGGAGCACUGAUGCUAUCGUUGCCGCUCAGCAUGAUACCUUUCAGCAUGUUCAGCGCCUGUAUGGCAAAGUUUUUAAAGUUAAUGCGAUCGCCGGCGUCGAAAAUGAGGGCGGUGCCCUCGUGGAACACAUAGUGGAAGCUGAACUCCAGGGCCACAGGAACGAACCUCGCAAAGGACACAGAAUGCCGCUCCAUCAGUUCAUUGAGGGUCUUCAUCAUCUUAAUCACAAAGCGCUCCAAUUCGGUGAGUAUCGUGGCAGUGCCUGGUGUGGCCGAUCCCACUUUCAGUUCAUAGCGCAGUUCGAGGCACUGUCGCAACCGCUGGAAAAGCUGCUCCACAAAGUUCAUGUGAUCCGUGGACUUGUACGGCUUGGCACAGCCGUAGACCACCAGCUUGCGCAGGGUUCUCAUCACCACAUACGCCCGUUGAAGGGCAUUGAGGGCCAUGGCCUCGUCCUUUCGCACGAGCUGCAAAAAGCGCGUCGUAAGUGGUGCCCAAAUGUCCCACGCCAGAUAUCCAAAUAUCUGUAAGCCCAGCUCCUGGAAGGCACGCUGCUCGGCCAUCAGACGCCGUGAGGCCAGGGCCUUGAGGACAUAGUGUAGGACAAUAAGAAUUCGCUGCUGCAGGGCCGAAUCCCCAUCCGUACCGCAGGACUGCAGCUGCUUCAUGAGUGUCGGCAGCAGAUCCGGCCAAAAUCGCGGGUAAUCCGUGCGUGCCAGGCGACCCAGGAGCACGGCUACCUGCAGGGCUACCUGGGGCACUUCCUCUGCGUCGUAGUGACGCAGAAGUACUUCCCGGAUCUGCUGCUUUUGCUCCGCGGGCAGUUCCUGCCGCGAAUUGGGCCGCCAAUAGCGCUCCACGCCAUUCUUUAGGUAGACAGCCGCCAUCCAGCGCACCUUCACCUCGGAGUCCUCCGUACUGGACACCACGUCGCCGCCGCCACCUCGUCGCAUGCUCAGACGGGCAAUCGUGGGAAAGAAGCCCGGCUGCUGCUCCCACUCGCGCAGCUGCGCCUCCGCCUUCUGGACAAUCUCAUGGCUCGGAUUUGUGGCCGCCUGCAGUGUCUGGGCUACCAGCUGCUCCACCGACGCUCCAGCACCCGCUGCGGCUGCUCCAGAUACUGCUCCCGUUGCCAUUUCCAUCACACGACGCCUCCUCUUGCGACGCUUGCGAGGACGAAAAUUAUUGGCAAAUUUCUGCGGCGCGUGCUGCUUCUUGCUUGAAUUUCAGUGUGACCGACCGCAAAUGCUGGAAAAUACUAAAACAGCAAAUUUUAAUAUAAAUAAUUUUGCAAAAAAUUUCAAAUUUAAAUUAUUGUUUGUUAAGUUUUUGUUGAAAUGGAAUUUUAAAAGAAAUUACAAUACAUUUAAUAACAACU